Molecule: ribosomal RNA, 404 nt
Filed under: Pseudomonas sp.
Lineage: Bacteria; Pseudomonadati; Pseudomonadota; Gammaproteobacteria; Pseudomonadales; Pseudomonadaceae
Also listed under: 3 other names
Description: partial 16S ribosomal RNA
Rfam family: Bacterial small subunit ribosomal RNA
Source: RNAcentral
GGGGAAUAUUGGACAAUGGGCGCAAGCCUGAUCCAGCCAUGCCGCGUGAGUGAUGAAGGCCUUAGGGUUGUAAAGCUCUUUUAUCCGGGACGAUAAUGACGGUACCGGAGGAAUAAGCCCCGGCUAACUUCGUGCCAGCAGCCGCGGUAAUACGAAGGGGGCUAGCGUUGCUCGGAAUCACUGGGCGUAAAGGGCGCGUAGGCGGCGUUUUAAGUCGGGGGUGAAAGCCUGUGGCUCAACCACAGAAUGGCCUUCGAUACUGGGACGCUUGAGUAUGGUAGAGGUUGGUGGAACUGCGAGUGUAGAGGUGAAAUUCGUAGAUAUUCGCAAGAACACCGGUGGCGAAGGCGGCCAACUGGACCAUUACUGACGCUGAGGCGCGAAAGCGUGGGGAGCAAACAGGA